This is a long non-coding RNA of Mesocricetus auratus (golden hamster), 433 nucleotides long. RefSeq lists it as uncharacterized. The transcript is spliced from 3 exons. The record is from RefSeq and is a predicted model, not a curated record. NCBI's taxonomy places the organism in Eukaryota, Metazoa, Chordata, Mammalia, Rodentia, Cricetidae.
AACUUUCUGUCCUCUGUGAUCAUAUUUGUGGUUUGGAGCAGUCACUAAGAAGGAAGAACUUGGGAGCUUGGCCGGACCCUGAGAGUCACCAACGGCAAAAGGCACCAUGAAAACCGGGUCAUGCUGCAAAAAUAAUAGAGAACUUCUGGCAUCUUAGCUUCCCAACAGCUACAUGGCAUGGCGUCUGUCCCUGGCAGCUCCUUUCUGCAUCCUCUCCACAGAAUUCCCCUUGUUUGGAAGCCCUGACCAUACUUCCUGACUUGUUACUGGCCAAUCCGUGAUUCAUUCAUCAACCAAUAAGAGAAACACCUAUACAGAAGGACAUCCCCCAUCAUUUCAAGGUCAGGAUGCGCAAGUCCGAGCUCCUUCUCCAGCACCGUGUCUGCCUGCACACCGUCAUGUCAUACUGUGAUGAUAAAGGACUAAAACCCCC